This 467-nucleotide ribosomal RNA is filed under the name uncultured bacterium. RNAcentral's name for it is "partial 16S ribosomal RNA". It matches the Rfam family "Bacterial small subunit ribosomal RNA", at positions 28 to 507 of the family's 1533-position model. The record is from RNAcentral.
GAUGAACGCUGGCGGCGUGCUUAACACAUGCAAGUCGAACGAUGAUGCCCAGCUUGCUGGGUGGAUUAGUGGCGAACGGGUGAGUAACACGUGAGUAACCUGCCCUUGACUCUGGGAUAAGCCUGGGAAACUGGGUCUAAUACCGGAUACGACCAUCUGGCGCAUGUCAUGGUGGUGGAAAGCUUUUGUGGUUUUGGAUGGGCUCGCGGCCUAUCAGCUUGUUGGUGGGGUAAUGGCCUACCAAGGCGACGACGGGUAGCCGGCCUGAGAGGGUGACCGGCCACACUGGGACUGAGACACGGCCCAGACUCCUACGGGAGGCAGCAGUGGGGAAUAUUGCACAAUGGGCGCAAGCCUGAUGCAGCGACGCCGCGUGAGGGAUGACGGCCUUCGGGUUGUAAACCUCUUUCAGUAGGGAAGAAGCGAAAGUGACGGUACCUGCAGAAGAAGCGCCGGCUAACUACGUG